AAAAGUUUGUGCACUUUCCUGAAUCCUUUCCUAUCAAUUCCCUCCAUUCAUUGCAGGGAGCAAAAAAUGAUCCUGUGGCUGAAUUUGGUGCCCUGGCUGGCACUCCUUCAAAGUGUCAAAUCUCAAGGACAGUUGGUGGAAUCUGGAGGGGGUGUGAGAAGCCCUGGAGGGUCCCUCCGUCUCUCCUGCCAAGCCUCUGGAUUCACCUUCAGCAGCUAUUGGAUGCACUGGGUGAGACAGGCUCCAGAGAAAGGACUAGAAUGGGUGGCCGCCAUAAGUACAGGCUCAUCUCCUUCCACUUACUACCCAGAUAAAGUCAAGGGACGCUUCACCAACUCCAGGGACGAUGCCAAAAGCCAGCUGUAUCUGCAGAUGAACAAUCUGGAACUGGAGGAUACUUCAGUUUAUUACUGCACAAAAGACACAGUGAGAGGAAGUGAAUCAGAUGCUAAGCAAAAACCUUUUUCCCCCCUCUCAGCAGCUCUCUAA
Crotalus tigris (Tiger rattlesnake) is the source of this 489-nucleotide non-coding RNA. NCBI's taxonomy places the organism in Eukaryota, Metazoa, Chordata, Lepidosauria, Squamata, Viperidae. The record is from the annotation of a RefSeq genome assembly.